RNAcentral lists this ribosomal RNA (219 nucleotides) under uncultured bacterium. Its description in RNAcentral is "partial 16S ribosomal RNA". It matches the Rfam family "Bacterial small subunit ribosomal RNA", at positions 1282 to 1500 of the family's 1533-position model. The record is from RNAcentral.
GCAGUCUUAGUUCGGAUUGUAGGCUGCAACCCGCCUACAUGAAGUCGGAAUUGCUAGUAAUCGCGGAUCAGCAUGCCGCGGUGAAUACGUUCCCGGGCCUUGUACACACCGCCCGUCACACCAUGGGAGUUGGUAACACCCGAAGUCAGUAGCCUAACCGCAAGGAGGGCGCUGCCGAAGGUGGGAUCGAUGACUGGGGUGAAGUCGUAACAAGGUAUC